UACGUAGGGGGCAAGCGUUGUCCGGAUUUAUUGGGCGUAAAGCGCGCGCAGGCGGUCCUUUAAGUCUGAUGUGAAAGCCCACGGCUCAACCGUGGAGGGUCAUUGGAGACUGGUGGGCUUGAGUGCAGGAGAGGAACGCGGAAUUCCAGGUGUAGCGGUGAAAUGCGUAGAUAUCUGGAGGAACACCGGUGGCGAAGGCGGCGUUCUGGACUGUUACUGACACUGAGGAACGAAAGCCAGGGGAGCAAACGGG
RNAcentral lists this ribosomal RNA (253 nucleotides) under uncultured bacterium. RNAcentral's name for it is "partial 16S ribosomal RNA". It matches the Rfam family "Bacterial small subunit ribosomal RNA", at positions 524 to 776 of the family's 1533-position model. The record is from RNAcentral.